Molecule: long non-coding RNA, 837 nt
Organism: Nymphaea colorata (pocket water lily)
Lineage: Eukaryota; Viridiplantae; Streptophyta; Magnoliopsida; Nymphaeales; Nymphaeaceae
Exons: 3
Source: RefSeq, a predicted model, not a curated record
AAGAGAUCUGAUGCUUUUCCAUGCUGCAAAAGUGUGACGCCACGUAGGGGAAUGGUUGUUGAAAAUUGAUCCAGCACAACAUUCACCCCAAAAUGAAGUUGGCACAAGCUCGUUCAAUCUUACGCAACACUGAGGGCGCGAUCCAAAAGAUAAGCCCCCAGUAUUGGGGAAUAGGGCUAAGGACGUAAUCAGACCAAAAUGACAUGCCAGCAUGAGAUAACAUCUUUUGCCUCCAACAUGAUAAACGUUUCCCCACUUUAACAAGCAAAGGGGAGCAGAUGCUUUCAAGGAGAUCACCAGUGAGCAACGGCAUGCCCAGCUCAUCAACGGGCGUCCUCGAGCAGCUCCUCAGUAGGGCAUUUUCCAGCGGCUCCUGGGCGGUGGCUUGCGAUGGGAUUUGGUGAGAAAUGCACGCCAAGAGGUCACUGUACAUUCGGAGCUAGGCUGCACGAUAAUUCCUAGCCAUGUUUGUGAAGUUGCAGGCUGAACAAGGAUGGCCGAACAUUGAAAUUUAUAAAGAUUGAUCUUUGUAGACAAGGGCAUUUCUGUAGAAAGGAGGGCUUCAAAUAUUGAAUAAUAUACUAUUUAUAAACUAUUACCAGAAUCUUAGAUGCACCACUUUUGGUUCAACAUGGCGAAUUGGUUUCAGCUUGCUUGUCUAUUUUCUUCAUUAAUGAAAAACCAUGUUGUUUUGGGUCUUAUUUUUUGGCUGUUUGAAUAGUUGGCACGUAGGUCGCAAGCUAGAGGAUAUAUGUCCUAGUUGUUUGAGCAUUGUUAAUGUAACAACUGCAGUCCGCUUGACUUUCUUUCAUCCUACUUCAUGGUAAAACUUCUUAU